GGGUUGUGAGGUUAAGCGACUAAGCGUACACGGUGGAUGCCCUGGCAGUCAGAGGCGAUGAAGGACGUGCUAAUCUGCGAUAAGCGUCGGUAAGGUGAUAUGAACCGUUAUAACCGGCGAUUUCCGAAUGGGGAAACCCAGUGUGAUUCGUCACACUAUCAUUAACUGAAUCCAUAGGUUAAUGAGGCGAACCGGGGGAACUGAAACAUCUAAGUACCCCGAGGAAAAGAAAUCAACCGAGAUUCCCCCAGUAGCGGCGAGCGAACGGGGAGGAGCCCAGAGCCUGAAUCAGUGUGUGUGUUAGUGGAAGCGUCUGGAAAGGCGCGCGAUACAGGGUGACAGCCCCGUACACAAAAAUACACAUGCUGUGAGCUCGAUGAGUAGGGCGGGACACGUGGUAUCCUGUCUGAAUAUGGGGGGACCAUCCUCCAAGGCUAAAUACUCCUGACUGACCGAUAGUGAACCAGUACCGUGAGGGAAAGGCGAAAAGAACCCCGGCGAGGGGAGUGAAAAAGAACCUGAAACCGUGUACGUACAAGCAGUGGGAGCACAGAGCAAUCUGUGUGACUGCGUACCUUUUGUAUAAUGGGUCAGCGACUUAUAUUCUGUAGCAAGGUUAACCGAAUAGGGGAGCCGAAGGGAAACCGAGUCUUAACUGGGCGUUAAGUUGCAGGGUAUAGACCCGAAACCCGGUGAUCUAGCCAUGGGCAGGUUGAAGGUUGGGUAACACUAACUGGAGGACCGAACCGACUAAUGUUGAAAAAUUAGCGGAUGACUUGUGGCUGGGGGUGAAAGGCCAAUCAAACCGGGAGAUAGCUGGUUCUCCCCGAAAGCUAUUUAGGUAGCGCCUCGUGAAUUCAUCUCCGGGGGUAGAGCACUGUUUCGGCAAGGGGGUCAUCCCGACUUACCAACCCGAUGCAAACUGCGAAUACCGGAGAAUGUUAUCACGGGAGACACACGGCGGGUGCUAACGUCCGUCGUGAAGAGGGAAACAACCCAGACCGCCAGCUAAGGUCCCAAAGUCAUGGUUAAGUGGGAAACGAUGUGGGAAGGCCCAGACAGCCAGGAUGUUGGCUUAGAAGCAGCCAUCAUUUAAAGAAAGCGUAAUAGCUCACUGGUCGAGUCGGCCUGCGCGGAAGAUGUAACGGGGCUAAACCAUGCACCGAAGCUGCGGCAGCGACGCUUAUGCGUUGUUGGGUAGGGGAGCGUUCUGUAAGCCUGCGAAGGUGUGCUGUGAGGCAUGCUGGAGGUAUCAGAAGUGCGAAUGCUGACAUAAGUAACGAUAAAGCGGGUGAAAAGCCCGCUCGCCGGAAGACCAAGGGUUCCUGUCCAACGUUAAUCGGGGCAGGGUGAGUCGACCCCUAAGGCGAGGCCGAAAGGCGUAGUCGAUGGGAAACAGGUUAAUAUUCCUGUACUUGGUGUUACUGCGAAGGGGGGACGGAGAAGGCUAUGUUGGCCGGGCGACGGUUGUCCCGGUUUAAGCGUGUAGGCUGGUUUUCCAGGCAAAUCCGGAAAAUCAAGGCUGAGGCGUGAUGACGAGGCACUACGGUGCUGAAGCAACAAAUGCCCUGCUUCCAGGAAAAGCCUCUAAGCAUCAGGUAACAUCAAAUCGUACCCCAAACCGACACAGGUGGUCAGGUAGAGAAUACCAAGGCGCUUGAGAGAACUCGGGUGAAGGAACUAGGCAAAAUGGUGCCGUAACUUCGGGAGAAGGCACGCUGAUAUGUAGGUGAAGCGACUUGCUCGUGGAGCUGAAAUCAGUCGAAGAUACCAGCUGGCUGCAACUGUUUAUUAAAAACACAGCACUGUGCAAACACGAAAGUGGACGUAUACGGUGUGACGCCUGCCCGGUGCCGGAAGGUUAAUUGAUGGGGUCAGCGCAAGCGAAGCUCUUGAUCGAAGCCCCGGUAAACGGCGGCCGUAACUAUAACGGUCCUAAGGUAGCGAAAUUCCUUGUCGGGUAAGUUCCGACCUGCACGAAUGGCGUAAUGAUGGCCAGGCUGUCUCCACCCGAGACUCAGUGAAAUUGAACUCGCUGUGAAGAUGCAGUGUACCCGCGGCAAGACGGAAAGACCCCGUGAACCUUUACUAUAGCUUGACACUGAACAUUGAGCCUUGAUGUGUAGGAUAGGUGGGAGGCUUUGAAGUGUGGACGCCAGUCUGCAUGGAGCCGACCUUGAAAUACCACCCUUUAAUGUUUGAUGUUCUAACGUGGACCCGUAAUCCGGGUUGCGGACAGUGUCUGGUGGGUAGUUUGACUGGGGCGGUCUCCUCCUAAAGAGUAACGGAGGAGCACGAAGGUUGGCUAAUCCUGGUCGGACAUCAGGAGGUUAGUGCAAUGGCAUAAGCCAGCUUGACUGCGAGCGUGACGGCGCGAGCAGGUGCGAAAGCAGGUCAUAGUGAUCCGGUGGUUCUGAAUGGAAGGGCCAUCGCUCAACGGAUAAAAGGUACUCCGGGGAUAACAGGCUGAUACCGCCCAAGAGUUCAUAUCGACGGCGGUGUUUGGCACCUCGAUGUCGGCUCAUCACAUCCUGGGGCUGAAGUAGGUCCCAAGGGUAUGGCUGUUCGCCAUUUAAAGUGGUACGCGAGCUGGGUUUAGAACGUCGUGAGACAGUUCGGUCCCUAUCUGCCGUGGGCGCUGGAGAACUGAGGGGGGCUGCUCCUAGUACGAGAGGACCGGAGUGGACGCAUCACUGGUGUUCGGGUUGUCAUGCCAAUGGCACUGCCCGGUAGCUAAAUGCGGAAGAGAUAAGUGCUGAAAGCAUCUAAGCACGAAACUUGCCCCGAGAUGAGUUCUCCCUGACUCCUUGAGAGUCCUGAAGGAACGUUGAAGACGACGACGUUGAUAGGCCGGGUGUGUAAGCGCAGCGAUGCGUUGAGCUAACCGGUACUAAUGAACCGUGAGGCUUAACCUUACAACGCCGAAGGUGUUU
This 2933-nucleotide ribosomal RNA is filed under the name Escherichia coli. RNAcentral describes it as "23S ribosomal RNA". It matches the Rfam family "Bacterial large subunit ribosomal RNA". The record is from RNAcentral. Lineage: Bacteria; Pseudomonadati; Pseudomonadota; Gammaproteobacteria; Enterobacterales; Enterobacteriaceae.